RNAcentral lists this ribosomal RNA (450 nucleotides) under uncultured bacterium. Its description in RNAcentral is "partial 16S ribosomal RNA". It matches the Rfam family "Bacterial small subunit ribosomal RNA", at positions 354 to 796 of the family's 1533-position model. The record is from RNAcentral.
GUGGGGAAUAUUGGACAAUGGGCGAAAGCCUGAUCCAGCCAUGCCGCGUGUGUGAAGAAGGUCUUCGGAUUGUAAAGCACUUUAAGUUGGGAGGAAGGGCAGUAAGUUAAUACCUUGCUGUUUUGACGUUACCGACAGAAUAAGCACCGGCUAACUUCGUGCCAGCAGCCGCGGUAAUACGAAGGGUGCAAGCGUUAAUCGGAAUUACUGGGCGUAAAGCGCGCGUAGGUGGUUCGUUAAGUUGGAUGUGAAAGCCCCGGGCUCAACCUGGGAACUGCAUCCAAAACUGGCGAGCUAGAGUACGGUAGAGGAUGGUGGAAUUUCCUGUGUAGCGGUGAAAUGCGUAGAUAUAGGAAGGAACACCAGUGGCGAAGGCGAACACCUGGACUGAUACUGACACUGAGGUGCGAAAGCGUGGGGAGCAAACAGGAUUAGAUACCCGGGUAGUCC